UCCAGACUCCUACGGGAGGCAGCAGUGAGGAAUAUUGGUCAAUGGGCGGGAGCCUGAACCAGCCAAGUCGCGUGAGGGACGACGGUCCUAUGGAUUGUAAACCUCUUUUGUCGGGGAACAAAGGCGCCCACGGGUGGGCGGAUGAGUGUACCCGAAGAAAAAGCAUCGGCUAACUCCGUGCCAGCAGCCGCGGUAAUACGUAGGGAGCAAGCGUUAUCCGGAUUUAUUGGGUGUAAAGGGUGCGUAGACGGGAAAACAAGUUAGUUGUGAAAUCCCUCGGCUUAACUGAGGAACUGCAACUAAAACUAUUUUUCUUGAGUGUUGGAGAGGAAAGUGGAAUUCCUAGUGUAGCGGUGAAAUGCGUAGAUAUUAGGAGGAACACCAGUGGCGAAGGCGACUUUCUGGACAAUAACUGACGUUGAGGCACGAAAGUGUGGGGAGCAAACAGGAUUAGAUACCCUCGUACU
RNAcentral lists this ribosomal RNA (467 nucleotides) under uncultured bacterium. RNAcentral describes it as "bacterial SSU rRNA". It matches the Rfam family "Bacterial small subunit ribosomal RNA", at positions 330 to 794 of the family's 1533-position model. The record is from RNAcentral.